Molecule: ribosomal RNA, 460 nt
Filed under: uncultured bacterium
Lineage: Bacteria
Description: partial 16S ribosomal RNA
Rfam family: Bacterial small subunit ribosomal RNA
Source: RNAcentral
CCUACGGGAGGCAGCAGUGAGGAAUAUUGGUCAAUGGGCGCGAGCCUGAACCAGCCAAGUAGCGUGAAGGAUGACUGCCCUACGGGUUGUACACUUCUUUUAUAAAGGAAUAAAGUGAGGCACGUGUGCCUUUUUGUAUUUACUUUAUGAAUAAGGAUCGGCUAACUCCGUGCCAGCAGCCGGGGUAAUACGGAGGAUCCUAGCGUUAUCCGGAUUUAUUGGGUUGAAAGGGAGCGUAGAUGGGUUGUUAAGUCAGUUGUGAAAGUGUGGGGCUCAACCGUAAAAUUGCAAUUGAUAAUGGCAGUCGUGAGUACAGUUGAGGUAGGCGGAAUUCGUGGUGUAGCGGUGAAAUGCUUAGAUAUCACGAAGAACUCCGAUUGCGAAGGCAGCUUACUAAACUGCCACUGACAUUGAUGCUCGAAAGUGUGGGUAUCAAACAGGAUUAGAUACCCGAGUAGUC